This 395-nucleotide ribosomal RNA is filed under the name uncultured bacterium. RNAcentral's name for it is "partial 16S ribosomal RNA". It matches the Rfam family "Bacterial small subunit ribosomal RNA", at positions 523 to 918 of the family's 1533-position model. The record is from RNAcentral.
ACACGUAGGGGCCUGACGUUGUUCGGAAUCAUUGGGCGUAAAGGGCGCGCAGGCGGCCGUCCAAGUCCGGUGUUAAAUGGUCGGGCUCAACCCGAUCAUGCGCUGGAAACUGGGCGGCUGGAGUCCCGGAGGGGAUGCCGGAAUUCCAGGUGUAGGGGUGAAAUCUGUAGAUAUCUGGAAGAACACCGAUGGCGAAGGCAGGCAUCUGGACGGAGACUGACGCUGAGGCGCGAAGGGGCGGGGAGCGAACAGGUUUAGAUCCCCUGGUAGUCCGCGCAGUAAACGAUGAAUACUAGCUGUCGGGGCUAUCAUGGCUUCGGUGGCGCAGCUAACGCAAUAAGUAUUCCACCUGGGGAGUACGGCCGCAAGGCUUAAACUCAAAGGAAUUGACGGGG